UUCCUCUUCCGUAUCUGUCACGCCAAACCCAAACCCUACAUCGCAGACCAUGCUUCCCCUUCACCUGGUAAUCGCAGUUUGUAACGAAGCCAAACCCUAGACGAGCAGAAGAAGACGCUGACCCUAGACGAGCAGAAAAAGACGCUGAACCCUACAUGAGUUUCAGCAGGAAAGCCGCGUGAUGCGGCGACGACACAAAAAUGUCUACGUUGUUGUGAGUAUGGACUAUGUGAAAAGGCAUGCAAAAACUCAGCACCAGAAGAUUCUACUCAACAUCAAGCCUCAACAAGUAAAAGGGGACAAGGAAAGAGUGCAAAAUUCGUGAAAGUAAUUAGUCAUAGUUGAGCAAUUGAUUUUGAAUUUUUGGUAUCGUAGUCAUAGUUGGGCAAUUGAUUUUGAAUUUUUGGCGUCGUAUUUGUAAUUCUUAAAUUUUAGGAAACUCUUUGUUUUUUAGCACACAAUUGAUUAUGAACAAGUAAGGAUUGCAUUUUUGAAA
Molecule: long non-coding RNA, 496 nt
Organism: Helianthus annuus (common sunflower)
Lineage: Eukaryota; Viridiplantae; Streptophyta; Magnoliopsida; Asterales; Asteraceae
Exons: 2
Source: RefSeq, a predicted model, not a curated record